Mesitornis unicolor (brown roatelo) is the source of this 368-nucleotide non-coding RNA. The record is from the annotation of a RefSeq genome assembly. Lineage: Eukaryota; Metazoa; Chordata; Aves; Mesitornithiformes; Mesitornithidae.
GCUGGCGGGCGGCCGUGACACUGGUGGAGUCCGGCGGUGGCCUCCAGCCCCCCGGGGGGUCCCUGACCCUCGUUUGCAAGGCCUCAGGCUUCAGUAUUGGGAACUAUUACAUGCAGUGGGUGCGACAGGCGCCUGGGAAGGGCCUGGAGUGGGUCGCAUAUAUUAAUUAUGAUAGUGCUUACACCUACUACGCGCCGGGGGUCAAGGGGCACUUCACCAUCUCCAGGGACAACUCCCAGAGCACGGUGACGCUGCGGAUGAGCGGCCUCAAGGCCGACGACACGGCCACCUACUACUGCGCCAAAGGUGUUUAUAGUGGUGGUGCUGAUGGUGGGGACAUUUCCCGGGCCAUUUUCCCCAAAUCCUGA